GCACCCGUAGCUCAGCUGGAUAGAGUGUCGGCUUGCGGAGCCGAAGGUCGUGUGUUCGAAUCACGCCGGGUGUACCA
RNAcentral lists this transfer RNA (77 nucleotides) under Candidatus Saccharimonadota bacterium. Its description in RNAcentral is "tRNA-Arg". It matches the Rfam family "tRNA". From Rfam's summary of the family: Transfer RNA (tRNA) molecules are approximately 80 nucleotides in length. Their secondary structure includes four short double-helical elements and three loops (D, anti-codon, and T loops). Further hydrogen bonds mediate the characteristic L-shaped molecular structure. tRNAs have two regions of fundamental functional importance: the anti-codon, which is responsible for specific mRNA codon recognition, and the 3' end, to which the tRNAs corresponding amino acid is attached (by aminoacyl-tRNA synthetases). tRNAs cope with the degeneracy of the genetic code in two manners: having more than one tRNA (with a specific anti-codon) for a particular amino acid; and 'wobble' base-pairing, i.e. permitting non-standard base-pairing at the 3rd anti-codon position. The record is from RNAcentral. Lineage: Bacteria; Candidatus Saccharimonadota.